AAAUUGAAGAGUUUGAUCAUGGCUCAGAUUGAACGCUGGCGGCAGGCCUAACACAUGCAAGUCGAACGGUAACAGGAAGCAGCUUGCUGCUUCGCUGACGAGUGGCGAACGGGUGAGUAAUGUCUGGGAAACUGCCUGAUGGAGGGGGAUAACUACUGGAAACGGUAGCUAAUACCGCAUAAUGUCGCAAGACCAAAGAGGGGGACCUUCGGGCCUCUUGCCAUCGGAUGUGCCCAGAUGGGAUUAGCUUGUUGGUGGGGUAACGGCUCACC
This 272-nucleotide ribosomal RNA is filed under the name Escherichia coli. RNAcentral's name for it is "partial 16S ribosomal RNA". It matches the Rfam family "Bacterial small subunit ribosomal RNA", at positions 1 to 269 of the family's 1533-position model. Lineage: Bacteria; Pseudomonadati; Pseudomonadota; Gammaproteobacteria; Enterobacterales; Enterobacteriaceae. The record is from RNAcentral.